RNAcentral lists this small RNA (498 nucleotides) under Oryza sativa Japonica Group (Japanese rice). Its description in RNAcentral is "sRNA Os01g0137750". Lineage: Eukaryota; Viridiplantae; Streptophyta; Magnoliopsida; Poales; Poaceae. The record is from RNAcentral.
UGCCUUCGGGGCAUUGGCAGUCUAGCCCAUCGUAGGUGACAUUCACCCGACACCAGCGGCCGCUCCUCGAGCAAUCUUCGCAGUCGUCCGGCCCUGCCGUGUAGUCGAGAAGAAACCCACCCUUGAUGAGCCGCUCGUAGUCCUUGGCCGCUGCACCCUGCUGCAACCGACUCUGGUUGCAGUUGUAGAGGAAGAUGAGCUCCCGGUUUAUGGGGCUAAUCUUGAACGGCGUGAGGCCGAGGUCGGAGGAGGCGUUGACAAAGCUCUCGAUGACGCACUGGCCGUCCGUCAACUGCUCGUUUGUGACCAUGAAGGAGCUGUUGUGGUAGAAGAUGUGCUGGAUUUGGUACGUCCAGAACCCGUUCUUGAGGGAAGCAUUUCUGUGGUCGCACGUGACCUGAAAAGCUCGGUAGCCACACUCCGGCGGAUGCUUGCCGGCGAGCCAGAACGGAUAGCCGAUGGUAAGGUUCCCACACCUCGCCGGCUCGCAGAACGGCG